AGAAAUGCAAAUUAAAACAAUUCUGAAGUAUCAUCUCACAAGUAUAAAAUUGGCUAAAAUGAUAAAAGUGCAAAAUAAGGAGGGGAUGUGGAAAAAUAGGAACAUUAACACAUUCUUGUUAGAACUCUGAACUGAUCCAACCAUUUUGGAGAGCAAUCUCAUUAAGCUCAAAGAAUAUAAAACUGUGGAUAUUUUUUGACUCAGUAAUAACACUAUUACAUUUAUUUCCCAAGGUGAUCAAAGAAAAAGGAAAAGAAACUCCAUGUUCUGAAAUAUUUGUAGUAGCUCUUUCUUGUGGUUGCAAAGAACAAGAAACUGAACAGAUAUUCAUCAAUUGGACAAUAUCUGAAAAAUUUGUGGAAUGUGAUUGUAAUGGAAUACUAUUCUGCCAUAACAGAUGACAAAACAAGAUGGCCACAAAAGAUCCUGUAAAAACUUAUAUGAAGUGAUGCAAAGUGAAGUGAGCAGAACCAGGAGAAUGUUGUACACAGUAACAAUAAUGCAUGAUCAACUGCAAAUGACUUAACUAUUAUCAACAAAGCAAGGAUCCUUGACAACUCCAAGGCACUCAUGAUGAAAAAGGAUAUUCAACACUUCAGAGGGAACAGCUGGAAUCCAGAUGCAGAUUGAAACAUCCCAUUAUUCUACUUCUUUCCUCCAUGACUUUUUCUCUAGUGUAUCUAAAGGACUUGUUUUGUCCCUUUUCAGUGAACAUGGAGCUUAUUAAAGGAACCCAUAGAAGGGAAGACAAUGUUUCUAGUAACAUGAUAACCAGAAUGAAGACAGAAUUUAUAUUCUGGGUUUGAAUAAUCACCAGGAAGAAUCAUGGGGGUCAAGGCAAGAGGAGAAGGAGAAGAUACAGUCUCCUUCAUCCCUCUCCCUUUUAGCUGGAGAAGAAUCUUUAGAGCUUCAAAAGGUCAAGAGAACAUUGGACUUCCCGCUUUCCUAAUGAUUUUAUAACUGCAACUCUGG
This 972-nucleotide long non-coding RNA is filed under the name Monodelphis domestica (gray short-tailed opossum). RNAcentral describes it as "lncRNA (ENSMODG00000042568.1)". The record is from RNAcentral. Lineage: Eukaryota; Metazoa; Chordata; Mammalia; Didelphimorphia; Didelphidae.